UCUAGUGGCGGACGGGUGAGUAACGCGUGGGUAACCUGCCUUAUACAGGGGGAUAACAGUCAGAAAUGGCUGCUAAUACCGCAUAAGCGCACAGAGCUGCAUGGCUCAGUGUGAAAAACUCCGGUGGUAUAAGAUGGACCCGCGUUGGAUUAGCUAGUUGGUGAGGUAACGGCCCACCAAGGCGACGAUCCAUAGCCGGCCUGAGAGGGUGAACGGCCACAUUGGGACUGAGACACGGCCCAGACUCCUACGGGAGGCAGCAGUGGGGAAUAUUGCACAAUGGGGGAAACCCUGAUGCAGCGACGCCGCGUGAAGGAAGAAGUAUCUCGGUAUGUAAACUUCUAUCAGCAGGGAAGAAAAUGACGGUACCUGACUAAGAAGCCCCGGCUAACUACGUGCCAGCAGCCGCGGUAAUACGUAGGGGGCAAGCGUUAUCCGGAUUUACUGGGUGUAAAGGGAGCGUAGACGGAUGGACAAGUCUGAUGUGAAAGCCCGGGGCUCAACCCCGGUACUGCAUUGGAAACUGUCGUACUAGAGUGUCGGAGGGGUAAGUGGAAUUCCUAGUGUAGCGGUGAAAUGCGUAGAUAUCGGGAGGAACACCAGUGGCGAAGGCGGCCUACUGGGCACCAACUGACGCUGAGGCUCGAAAGUGUGGGUAGCAAACAGGAUUAGAUACCCUGGUAGUCCACACCGUAAACGAUGAUUACUAGGUGUUGGAGGAUUGACCCCUUCAGUGCCGCAGUUAACACAAUAAGUAAUCCACCUGGGGAGUACGACCGCAAGGUUGAAACUCAAAGGAAUUGACGGGGGCCCGCACAAGCAGUGGAGUAUGUGGUUUAAUUCGACGCAACGCGAAGAACCUUACCAAGUCUUGACAUCCUGCGACAAUGCUAGAAAUAGUAUUUUCCUUCGGGACGCAGAGACAGGUGGUGCAUGGUUGUCGUCAGCUCGUGUCGUGAGAUGUUGGGUUAAGUCCCGCAACGAGCGCAACCCUUAUGGUCAGUUACUACGCAAGAGGACUCUGGCCAGACUGCCGUUGACAAAACGGAGGAAGGUGGGGAUGACGUCAAAUCAUCAUGCCCUUUAUGACUUGGGCUACACACGUACUACAAUGGCGUUAAACAAAGAGAAGCAAGACCGCGAGGUGGAGCAAAACUCAGAAACAACGUCCCAGUUCGGACUGCAGGCUGCAACUCGCCUGCACGAAGUCGGAAUUGCUAGUAAUCGUGGAUCAGCAUGCCACGGUGAAUACGUUCCCGGGCCUUGCACACACCGCCCGUCA
Molecule: ribosomal RNA, 1282 nt
Filed under: uncultured bacterium
Lineage: Bacteria
Description: partial 16S ribosomal RNA
Rfam family: Bacterial small subunit ribosomal RNA
Source: RNAcentral